RNAcentral lists this ribosomal RNA (1124 nucleotides) under uncultured fungus. RNAcentral's name for it is "eukaryotic LSU rRNA". The stretch from base 501 to 1124 matches the Rfam family "Eukaryotic large subunit ribosomal RNA", at positions 1 to 649 of the family's 3401-position model. Lineage: Eukaryota; Fungi. The record is from RNAcentral.
AAGUCGUAACAAGGUCUCCGUUGGUGAACCAGCGGAGGGAUCAUUACCGAGUUUUAAACUCACCAACCCACUGUGAACAUACCUACGUUGCUUCGGCGGCGGGCUUCGGCCCCCGCCGGGGACCCAAACACUAUUUUUAACCGAUACCUCUGAGUAAAAAACAAAUAAAUCAAAACCUUUAACAACGGAUCUCUUGGCUCUGGCAUCGAUGAAGAACGCAGCGAAAUGCGAAAAGUAAUGUGAAUUGCAGAAUUCAGUGAAUCAUCGAAUCUUUGAACGCACAUUGCGCCCGCUGGAACUCCGGCGGGCAUGCCUGUCCGAGCGUCAUUUCAACCCCUCAGGCCCCCCUUCCGGGGGCGGGCCUGGUGUUGGGGCUCGGCCGCUACCCCGCGGCCGUCCCCUAAAUGCAGUGGCGGCCUCGCCGCAAUCCCUUGCGUAGUACUAUACCUCGCACCGGAGCGCGACGCGGCCACGCCGUAAAACCCCCAAUUUUCAAUGGUUGACCUCGGAUCAGGUAGGAAUACCCGCUGAACUUAAGCAUAUCAAUAAGCGGAGGAAAAGAAACCAACAGGGAUUGCCUCAGUAACGGCGAGUGAAGCGGCAACAGCUCAAAUUUGAAAUCUGGCCCCCGGGUCCGAGUUGUAAUUUGCAGAGGAUGCUUUUGGUGAAGUGCUUUCCGAGUCCCUUGGAACAGGGCGCCAUAGAGGGUGAGAGCCCCGUCUGGUCAUGCACUGAGCCUCUGUAAAGCUCCUUCGACGAGUCGAGUAGUUUGGGAAUGCUGCUCUAAAUGGGAGGUGUAUGUCUUCUAAAGCUAAAUACCGGCCAGAGACCGAUAGCGCACAAGUAGAGUGAUCGAAAGAUGAAAAGUACUCUGAAGAGAGAGUUAAAUAGCACGUGAAAUUGUUAAAGGGGAAGCGUUUAUGACCAGACUUGAGGCCGGCCGAUCAUCCAGCGUUCUCGCUGGUGCACUCGGUCGGUUUUAGGCCAGCAUCGGUUCGCGCCGGGGGAUAAAGGUUUCGGGAAUGUAGCUCCUUCGGGAGUGUUAUAGACCGUUGCGUAAUACCCUGGGGCGGACCGAGGAACGCGCUUCGGCACGGAUGCUGGCGUAAUGGUCACCAACGACC